Molecule: non-coding RNA, 85 nt
Filed under: [Bacillus] enclensis
Lineage: Bacteria; Bacillati; Bacillota; Bacilli; Caryophanales; Bacillaceae
Description: Bacillus enclensis c-di-GMP sequence
Rfam family: c-di-GMP-I riboswitch aptamer
About the family: GEMM was predicted in a large-scale screen for bacterial structured RNA regulatory elements. Genes associated with GEMM are involved in a diverse array of functions, including chemotaxis regulation, signal transduction, secretion and chitin.
Source: RNAcentral
GUACGAUAACGGCAAAAUCAUUGAAAAAUGAUGACGCAAAACUAAUAGGGGCUACUGUCAAUGACUAAGCCAGCCAGUUUCCGAA